RNAcentral lists this unclassified non-coding RNA (667 nucleotides) under Hevea brasiliensis (rubber tree). The record is from RNAcentral. Lineage: Eukaryota; Viridiplantae; Streptophyta; Magnoliopsida; Malpighiales; Euphorbiaceae.
AUAUGUGAAACAAACCCCAAAUGUGCGUUCACUGUGGGAUAUGGGCUUGCAGCUUUUCCGCAAGCAUCUCUCUCUUGCCUCAGAAGUAGAACACAAAACUGUUUUUGGCCUCCUACAGAUGAUUGAGACCGAAAGAUUAGGUGAGGCAGUUGAUCGAACUCUGCUUAACCAUCUUUUGAAGAUGUUCACUGCCUUGGGGAUUUAUGCUGAAAGUUUUGAAAAGCCAUUUCUUGAGCGUACUUCUGAGUUUUAUGCUGCUGAAGGUGUCAAAUACAUGCAGCAGUCAGAUGUUCCAGAUUACCUGAAGCAUGUGGAGGUAAGGUUACAUGAAGAACAUGACAGGUGCUUACUCUACCUGGAUGCAAGUACUAGAAAACCACUGAUAGCAACUGCAGAGAGGCAACUUUUAGAACAACACAUUUCUGCAAUUCUUGAUAAGGGUUUCACAGUGUUGAUGGAUGGUAAUCGUAUUGAAGAUCUCCAAAGGAUGUAUAUGCUAUUUUGCAGGGUCAAUGAUCUCGAAUCUUUAAGGCAAGCACUUAGCUCAUAUAUCCGAAGAACUGGUCAGAGCAUUGUGCUAGAUGAAGAGAAAGACAAAGAUAUGGUACCCAGCCUCUUGGAAUUUAAGGCAUCUCUUGAUACCAUAUGGGAAGAAAGCUUUUCUAAG